GAGUAAUGUCUGGGAAACUGCCUGAUGGAGGGGGAUAACUACUGGAAACGGUGGCUAAUACCGCAUAACGUCGCAAGACCAAAGAGGGGGACCUUCGGGCCUCUUGCCAUCAGAUGUGCCCAGAUGGGAUUAGCUUGUUGGUGAGGUAACGGCUCACCAAGGCGACGAUCCCUAGCUGGUCUGAGAGGAUGACCAGCCACACUGGAACUGAGACACGGUCCAGACUCCUACGGGAGGCAGCAGUGGGGAAUAUUGCACAAUGGGCGCAAGCCUGAUGCAGCCAUGCCGCGUGUAUGAAGAAGGCCUUC
This 308-nucleotide ribosomal RNA is filed under the name Salmonella enterica subsp. enterica. RNAcentral describes it as "bacterial SSU rRNA". It matches the Rfam family "Bacterial small subunit ribosomal RNA", at positions 108 to 419 of the family's 1533-position model. RNAcentral also lists the same sequence under 2 other names. Lineage: Bacteria; Pseudomonadati; Pseudomonadota; Gammaproteobacteria; Enterobacterales; Enterobacteriaceae. The record is from RNAcentral.